CGACGAGCUCCUCUCUUCGCCUGUCGCCCACCUCUUCUUGAGGGAAAGAUGAGAAGCAGCCAGCAGAAGCAGCAGAAGGAGGAGGAGGAGGAGACCUGUGCUGUGCAGCGCUAGGGAGCUAGCGAGCUGUUUCUGCGGCGGUGUCCUCUAUGUGAGCCAACAUGUCAGCUGUGAGGGCUUCCUCCAGCCGCCUCCUCACACUCUGCACCAGGUCCUCCUGCUUCCUGAUGGACACAGACAAGAAAAAUAAAUAAAGGAGAGGCAGUAAUAAAAACAAGCCUUUAGUAGCUUUAAGAUACAAUGAUGACAAGGAAAAAGUGUUUCAUUCAAAAGGGUUUUCAUUAUCUGUAAGCCAUAACUAUCAAAAUUUCAAGAAAUAAAGGCUUGAAAUAUUUUA
Molecule: long non-coding RNA, 397 nt
Organism: Cheilinus undulatus (humphead wrasse)
Lineage: Eukaryota; Metazoa; Chordata; Actinopteri; Labriformes; Labridae
Exons: 2
Source: RefSeq, a predicted model, not a curated record